AGUUAAAGGGUGGGGUUUAGGAUUUAGGGUUUAGGAUUUAGGGUUUAGGGUUUAGAGUUUAGGGUUUAGGGUUUAGGGUUUAGAUUUUAGGGUUUAGAUUUUAGGGUUUAGGGUUUAGAGUUUAGGGUUUAGGGUUUAUGGUUUAGGGUUUAGAGUUUAAGGUUUAGGGUUUAGAGUUUAGAGUUGAGAAAUGAGGUUUUGGGAUAAGUUUUCAAAUUUUGAAAAAUAAAAAAAAUUA
This 238-nucleotide long non-coding RNA is filed under the name Brassica napus (rape). Its description in RNAcentral is "long non-coding RNA (BNAP_LNC018520)". Lineage: Eukaryota; Viridiplantae; Streptophyta; Magnoliopsida; Brassicales; Brassicaceae. The record is from RNAcentral.